RNAcentral lists this ribosomal RNA (412 nucleotides) under uncultured microorganism. RNAcentral describes it as "bacterial SSU rRNA". It matches the Rfam family "Archaeal small subunit ribosomal RNA", at positions 459 to 872 of the family's 1478-position model. The record is from RNAcentral.
CAGCCGCCGCGGUAAUACCAGCCCCGCGAGUGGUCGGGACGGUUAUUGGGCCUAAAGCGCCCGUAGCCGGCCCGGCAAGUCCCUCCUUAAAGCCUCGGGCCCAACCCGAGGACGGGGGGGAUACUGCCGGGCUAGGGGGCGGGAGAGGCCGGCGGUACUCCCGGGGUAGGGGCGAAAUCCGUUAAUCCCGGGAGGACCACCAGUGGCGAAGGCGGCCGGCUGGAACGCGCCCGACGGGGAGGGGCGAAAGCCGGGGGAGCGAACCGGAUUAGAUACCCGGGUAGUCCCGGCUGUAAACGAUGCGGGCUAGCUGUUGGGCGGGCUUAGAGCCCGCCCAGUGGCGCAGGGAAGCCGUUAAGUCCGCCGCCUGGGGAGUACGGCCGCAAGGUUGAAACUUAAAGGAAUUGGCGGG